AGUGAACGCUGGCGGUAGACCUAACACAUGCAAGUCGAACGGCAGCACAGUAAGAGCUUGCUCUUACGGGUGGCGAGUGGCGGACGGGUGAGGAAUACAUCGGAAUCUACUUUUUCGUGGGGGAUAACGUAGGGAAACUUACGCUAAUACCGCAUACGACCUACGGGUGAAAGCAGGGGAUCUUCGGACCUUGCGCGAUUGAAUGAGCCGAUGCCGGAUUAGCUAGUUGGCGGGGUAAAGGCCCACCAAGGCGACGAUCCGUAGCUGGUCUGAGAGGAUGAUCAGCCACACUGGAACUGAGACACGGUCCAGACUCCUACGGGAGGCAGCAGUGGGGAAUAUUGGGCAAUGGGCGCAAGCCUGAUCCAGCCAUACCGCGUGAGUGAAGAAGGCCUUCGGGUUGUAAAGCCCUUUUGUUGGGAAAGAAAAGCAGCAGGUUAAUACCCCGCUGUUCUGACGGUACCCAAAGAAUAAGCACCGGCUAACUUCGUG
Molecule: ribosomal RNA, 492 nt
Filed under: uncultured bacterium
Lineage: Bacteria
Description: partial 16S ribosomal RNA
Rfam family: Bacterial small subunit ribosomal RNA
Source: RNAcentral